This 1249-nucleotide long non-coding RNA is filed under the name Homo sapiens (human). RNAcentral's name for it is "HSALNT0023492". Lineage: Eukaryota; Metazoa; Chordata; Mammalia; Primates; Hominidae. The record is from RNAcentral.
CCUGUGACACAUUUCAGUAACUACCAGAUGGGCCUUGGGUGGAUGUAUCCAAUGGGAAAACCAAUUUGGAAAUGACAGGGCUGGCAGCUGCCUCCUCACUGAAAUCUGGGAAAUCAGAGAAUCGAAUCAAUUGAAGAACUCUUAGACUUUACUUUGGUUUUGUAAGUUCUGGGUUCAAAUUCCCUUUCAUAUUGUAGAUAGAGUUAGACAACUACUAAUUUGUGGCCAUAUUACAACUGAUUAGGGUAGAGGGUUAGUCUCUGAUUGUAACCAGCUACCUUGGAAAGGCCACGCCAACUCUUUUAGGUCACUUAGCUUUCAUCAGUGCCCGAAGGGGAAGUUUCUACCAAGCAGAUGGCAUAUGGUAUGUAGCAGAUGGUAGAUGGUAUAUGGUAGAUAGUGGAUGGUAGAUAUUAGAUGGUUGAUAGUAUAUGGUAGAUGGUGGAUGACAGAGAGUAGAUGGUAUAUGCUGGAUGGUACAUGGUAUAUGGUAGAUGGUGGAUGGUGAAUGGCAUAUGACAGAUGGUAGAUGAAGAAUGGUGGAUAGUACAUGAUAGAUGGUUGAUGAUAGACAAUUGAUGGUAGAUGGUAGAUGGUGGGUGGUAUGUGAUGGAUGGUGGAUGGCAGAUGGCAGUGGUAUGUGGUAGAUGGCAGAUGGUGCAUCGUAAAUGGUGCAUGAUGGUGGAUGGUGGAUGGUAGAUGGUAGAUGGUAGAUGAUGGAUGAUACAUGGUAUGUGGUAAAUGGUAUAUGGAAUAUGGUAGAUGGUGCAUGGUGAAUGGUAGAUGGUGGAUGGUGGAUGGUAGAUGGUAGAUGAUAUAUGAUGAAUGGUAUAUGGAAUAUGGUGGAUAAUAGUGGAUGGUAGAUGACAGAUGGCAUAUGGUGGGUGGUGUAUGAUGGAUGGUGGAUGGUAGAUGGGAGAUGAUAUAUGGUAUAUGAUGAAUGGUAGAUAAUGGAUGGCAGAUGGUAUAUGGCAUAUGGCAGGUGGUAUAUGUGGUAUAUGAUGAAUGGCAUAUGGAAUACAGUGAAUGGUAGAUGGUGGAUGGUAGACGGCUGAUGAUUGAUAGCAUAAGGUAUAUGAUAAUAGAUAGGGCCCAGAUUUUAAAGUCCAGCUGCCCAGUGAGAAUGCUUUUUCUGCUUCUCACUUGCACCACAAUCUUUGUGCCUUGGUUGCUACAGCUGCAAAAUAAUAGCACCUCACUUGUGGGAUUUGUUUUGUUAAGGCAAAAUUUUUAUAACACAAAAUUUUCU